AGCUUUGCAAGAGAUCUUUCAUGCCCCAUCUGCCAUCACUGCUUCCGUCCUUGGUCCAAUCAAAUUCUUCUCCGUGACAGUUCUCCUAGCUUAGAGAGCUCAGUGAGCUGCAGAGGGGUCAUAGUUUGAAAAAAGAAAAUAGCUAAUGUUAACAAAUAGGGAGGAGGGAAGCGCUGAAAAAAAAAGAUAGGUAGGUACAGAGAGAGGGGAGUUAGAUGCUUUCCUUUGCAGGCACGAUCCCAACACUGCCGACAAGGUUAAAAGGUAGUAACAUCUGUCACCUGCCAACAACAGAUGUAUUUUUAUUUGCACAG
Non-coding RNA from Pelobates cultripes (western spadefoot toad), 314 nucleotides. The record is from the annotation of a GenBank genome assembly. NCBI's taxonomy places the organism in Eukaryota, Metazoa, Chordata, Amphibia, Anura, Pelobatidae.